UGCUCUGGAUUAGGCUUUGGCUUAAGGGAAUGUUGUGGCUGGUUUGAUCUUCUACCCAGAGCACCAAAACUUUUCCAUAUCAGC
Molecule: microRNA precursor, 84 nt
Filed under: Ovis aries (sheep)
Lineage: Eukaryota; Metazoa; Chordata; Mammalia; Artiodactyla; Bovidae
Description: miRNA (ENSOARG00000024104.1)
Source: RNAcentral